AUGACGCUGGCGGCGUGCCUAAUACAUGCAAGUCGAACGCACAGCGAAAGGUGCUUGCACCUUUCAAGUGAGUGGCGAACGGGUGAGUAACACGUGGACAACCUGCCUCAAGGCUGGGGAUAACAUUUGGAAACAGAUGCUAAUACCGAAUAAAACUUAGUGUCGCAUGACACAAAGUUAAAAGGCGCUUCGGCGUCACCUAGAGAUGGAUCCGCGGUGCAUUAGUUAGUUGGUGGGGUAAAGGCCUACCAAGACAAUGAUGCAUAGCCGAGUUGAGAGACUGAUCGGCCACAUUGGGACUGAGACACGGCCCAAACUCCUACGGGAGGCUGCAGUAGGGAAUCUUCCACAAUGGGCGAAAGCCUGAUGGAGCAACGCCGCGUGUGUGAUGAAGGCUUUCGGGUCGUAAAGCACUGUUGUAUGGGAAGAACAGCUAGAAUAGGAAAUGAUUUUAGUUUGACGGUACCAUACCAGAAAGGGACGGCUAAAUACGUGCCAGCAGCCGCGGUAAUACGUAUGUCCCGAGCGUUAUCCGGAUUUAUUGGGCGUAAAGCGAGCGCAGACGGUUUAUUAAGUCUGAUGUGAAAGCCCGGAGCUCAACUUCGGAAUGGCAUUGGAAACUGGUUAACUUGAGUGCAGUAGAGGUAAGUGGAACUCCAUGUGUAGCGGUGGAAUGCGUAGAUAUAUGGAAGAACACCAGUGGCGAAGGCGGCUUACUGGACUGCAACUGACGUUGAGGCUCGAAAGUGUGGGUAGCAAACAGGAUUAGAUACCCUGGUAGUCCACACCGUAAACGAUGAACACUAGGUGUUAGGAGGUUUCCGCCUCUUAGUGCCGAAGCUAACGCAUUAAGUGUUCCGCCUGGGGAGUACGACCGCAAGGUUGAAACUCAAAGGAAUUGACGGGGACCCGCACAAGCGGUGGAGCAUGUGGUUUAAUUCGAAGCAACGCGAAGAACCUUACCAGGUCUUGACAUCCUUUGAAGCUUUUAGAGAUAGAAGUGUUCUCUUCGGAGACAAAGUGACAGGUGGUGCAUGGUCGUCGUCAGCUCGUGUCGUGAGAUGUUGGGUUAAGUCCCGCAACGAGCGCAACCCUUAUUGUUAGUUGCCAGCAUUCAGAUGGGCACUCUAGCGAGACUGCCGGUGACAAACCGGAGGAAGGCGGGGACGACGUCAGAUCAUCAUGCCCCUUAUGACCUGGGCUACACACGUGCUACAAUGGCGUAUACAACGAGUUGCCAACCCGCGAGGGUGAGCUAAUCUCUUAAAGUACGUCUCAGUUCGGAUUGUAGUCUGCAACUCGACUACAUGAAGUCGGAAUCGCUAGUAAUCGCGGAUCAGCACGCCGCGGUGAAUACGUUCCCGGGUCUUGUACACACCGCCCGUCACACCAUGGGAGUUUGUAAUGCCCAAAGCCGGUGGCCUAACCUUUUAGGAAGGAGCCGUCUAAGGCAGGACAGAUGACUGGGGU
RNAcentral lists this ribosomal RNA (1470 nucleotides) under Leuconostoc mesenteroides subsp. mesenteroides. RNAcentral's name for it is "bacterial SSU rRNA". It matches the Rfam family "Bacterial small subunit ribosomal RNA". The record is from RNAcentral. Lineage: Bacteria; Bacillati; Bacillota; Bacilli; Lactobacillales; Lactobacillaceae.